UGAGUCUGGAGCUCAGAGAAGGCCU
This 25-nucleotide non-coding RNA is filed under the name Rattus norvegicus (Norway rat). Lineage: Eukaryota; Metazoa; Chordata; Mammalia; Rodentia; Muridae. The record is from RNAcentral.